AUUGAACGCUGGCGGCAUGCCUUACACAUGCAAGUCGAACGGCAGCGCGGACUUCGGUCUGGCGGCGAGUGACGAACGGGUGAGUAAUACAUCGGAACGUACCCUGUUGUGGGGGAUAACUAGUCGAAAGAUUAGCUAAUACCGCAUACGACCUGAGGGUGAAAGUGGGGGACCGCAAGGCCUCACGCAGCAGGAGCGGCCGAUGUCUGAUUAGCUAGUUGGUGGGGUAAAGGCCCACCAAGGCGACGAUCAGUAGCUGGUCUGAGAGGACGGUCAGCCACACUGGGACUGAGACACGGCCCAGACUCCUACGGGAGGCAGCAGUGGGGAAUUUUGGACAAUGGGGGCAACCCUGAUCCAGCAAUGCCGCGUGUGUGAAGAAGGCCUUCGGGUUGUAAAGCACUUUUGUCCGGAAAGAAAUCGCGCUGGUUAAUACCUGGCGUGGAUGACGGUACCGGAAGAAUAAGCACCGGCUAACUACGUGCCAGCCGCCGCAGUAA
This 500-nucleotide ribosomal RNA is filed under the name uncultured bacterium. Its description in RNAcentral is "partial 16S ribosomal RNA". It matches the Rfam family "Bacterial small subunit ribosomal RNA", at positions 30 to 523 of the family's 1533-position model. The record is from RNAcentral.